This 453-nucleotide ribosomal RNA is filed under the name uncultured bacterium. RNAcentral's name for it is "bacterial SSU rRNA". It matches the Rfam family "Bacterial small subunit ribosomal RNA", at positions 340 to 784 of the family's 1533-position model. The record is from RNAcentral.
UACGGAAGGUAGCAGUGGGGAAUAUUGCACAAUGGGCGCAAGCCUGAUGCAGCCAUGCCGCGUGUAUGAAAAAGGCCUUCGGGUUGUAAAGUACUUUCAGUCGUGAGGAAGGUGUUAAGGUUAAUAACCUUAGCAAUUGACGUUAGCGACAGAAGAAGCACCGGCUAACUCCGUGCCAGCAGCCGCGGUAAUACGGAGGGUGCGAGCGUUAAUCGGAAUUACUGGGCGUAAAGGGCACGCAGGCGGUUAAUUAAGUUGGAUGUGAAAUCCCCGGGCUUAACCUGGGAAUGGCAUUCAAGACUGGUUAGCUAGAGUCUUGUAGAGGGGGUAGAAUUCCAUGUGUAGCGGUGAAAUGCGUAGAGAUGUGGAGGAAUACCGGUGGCGAAGGCGGCCCCUGGACAAAGACUGACGCUCAUGUGCGAAAGCGUGGGGAGCGAAACAGGGAUUAGGAUA